Molecule: ribosomal RNA, 254 nt
Filed under: uncultured bacterium
Lineage: Bacteria
Description: partial 16S ribosomal RNA
Rfam family: Bacterial small subunit ribosomal RNA
Source: RNAcentral
UACGUAGGCAGCGAGCGUUGUUCGGAGUUACUGGGCGUAAAGGGUGUGUAGGCGGUUGUUUAAGUUUGGUGUGAAAUCUCCCGGCUCAACUGGGAGGGUGCGCCGAAUACUGAAUGACUUCGAGUGCGGGAGAGGAGAGUGGAAUUCCUGGUGUAGCGGUGAAAUGCGUAGAUAUCAGGAGGAACACCGGUGGUGUAGACGGCUCUCUGGACCGUAACUGACGCUGAGGAGCGAAAGCGUGGGGAGCGAACAGG